GAAAAAUUACUUAAGAUUGUC
This 21-nucleotide microRNA is filed under the name Apis mellifera (honey bee). RNAcentral's name for it is "ame-miR-3774-3p". The record is from miRBase by way of RNAcentral. Lineage: Eukaryota; Metazoa; Arthropoda; Insecta; Hymenoptera; Apidae.